This 253-nucleotide ribosomal RNA is filed under the name uncultured bacterium. Its description in RNAcentral is "partial 16S ribosomal RNA". It matches the Rfam family "Bacterial small subunit ribosomal RNA", at positions 524 to 776 of the family's 1533-position model. The record is from RNAcentral.
UACGAAGGGGGCUAGCGUUGCUCGGAAUCACUGGGCGUAAAGGGUGCGUAGGCGGGUCUUUAAGUUAGGGGUGAAAUCCUGGAGCUCAACCCCAGAACUGCCUUUGAUACUGAGGAUCUUGAGUUCGGGAGAGGUGAGUGGAACUGCGAGUGUAGAGGUGAAAUUCGUAGAUAUUCGCAAGAACACCAGUGGCGAAGGCGGCUCACUGGCCCGAUACUGACGCUGAGGCACGAAAGCGUGGGGAGCAAACAGG